This 460-nucleotide ribosomal RNA is filed under the name uncultured bacterium. RNAcentral describes it as "partial 16S ribosomal RNA". It matches the Rfam family "Bacterial small subunit ribosomal RNA", at positions 338 to 795 of the family's 1533-position model. The record is from RNAcentral.
CCUACGGGAGGCAGCAGUGAGGAAUAUUGGUCAAUGGGCGCGAGCCUGAACCAGCCAAGUCGCGUGAGGGAGGACGGCCCUACGGGUUGUAAACCUCUUUUGCCGGGGAGCAACGGGCGCCACGUGUGGCGUCACUGAGAGUACCCGGAGAAAAAGCAUCGGCUAACUCCGUGCCAGCAGCCGCGGUAAUACGGAGGAUGCGAGCGUUAUCCGGAUUUAUUGGGUUUAAAGGGUGCGUAGGCGGAUCGUUAAGUCAGUGGUCAAAUUGAGGGGCUCAACCCCUUCCCGCCAUUGAAACUGGCGUUCUUGAGUGGAAGAGAAGUAUGCGGAAUUCGUGGUGUAGCGGUGAAAUGCUUAGAUAUCACGAAGAACUCCGAUUGCGAAGGCAGCUUACUAAACUGCCACUGACAUUGAUGCUCGAAAGUGUGGGGAGCAAACAGGAUUAGAUACCCGUGUAGUC